GGGGGAUUGAACAAGCUGCCUUCAUCCCAAAAUCAAAAGAGUAGAAGGUGUUACAUCUGCUGGUUCAUGGAUACCUUUGUAGUGUACAGAUUAAUAUAUCUAAUGUCCACUUUAAGGGUUUGCAUGAAUGGGGAGAUGAGGUUGCCUUCUUCACUUAUAAUUUGGUUUGAAGGGAGCUCUGAUAGCCCUUCUC
This is a microRNA precursor of Vitis vinifera (wine grape), 193 nucleotides long. It matches the Rfam family "MIR159 microRNA precursor family". The record is from Rfam. Lineage: Eukaryota; Viridiplantae; Streptophyta; Magnoliopsida; Vitales; Vitaceae.